This 372-nucleotide ribosomal RNA is filed under the name uncultured organism. RNAcentral's name for it is "partial 16S ribosomal RNA". It matches the Rfam family "Bacterial small subunit ribosomal RNA", at positions 527 to 896 of the family's 1533-position model. The record is from RNAcentral.
GUAGGUGGCAAGCGUUGUCCGGAAUUAUUGGGCGUAAAGCGCGCGCAGGCGGUUCUUUAAGUCUGAUGUGAAAGCCCACGGCUCAACCGUGGAGGGUCAUUGGAAACUGGAGAACUUGAGUACAGAAGAGGAAAGCGGAAUUCCACGUGUAGCGGUGAAAUGCGUAGAGAUGUGGAGGAACACCAGUGGCGAAGGCGGCUUUCUGGUCUGUAACUGACGCUGAGGCGCGAAAGCGUGGGGAGCAAACAGGAUUAGAUACCCUGGUAGUCCACGCCGUAAACGAUGAGUGCUAAGUGUUAGGGGGUUUCCGCCCCCCUUAGUGCUGCAGCUAACGCAUUAAGCACUCCGCCUGGGAGUACAGCCGCAAGGCUG